AGUUUGAUCCUGGCUCAGGACGAACGCUGGCGGCGUGCUUAACACAUGCAAGUCGAACGGAAAGGCCCUUCGGGGUACUCGAGUGGCGAACGGGUGAGUAACACGUGGGUGAUCUGCCCUGCACUUUGGGAUAAGCCUGGGAAACUGGGUCUAAUACCGAAUAGGACCACGCGCUUCAUGGUGUGUGGUGGAAAGCUUUUGCGGUGUGGGAUGGGCCCGCGGCCUAUCAGCUUGUUGGUGGGGUAAUGGCCUACCAAGGCGACGACGGGUAGCCGGCCUGAGAGGGUGACCGGCCACACUGGGACUGAGAUACGGCCCAGACUCCUACGGGAGGCAGC
This 338-nucleotide ribosomal RNA is filed under the name uncultured Mycobacterium sp. RNAcentral's name for it is "bacterial SSU rRNA". It matches the Rfam family "Bacterial small subunit ribosomal RNA", at positions 10 to 352 of the family's 1533-position model. The record is from RNAcentral. Lineage: Bacteria; Bacillati; Actinomycetota; Actinomycetes; Mycobacteriales; Mycobacteriaceae.